UACGGGGGGAGCAAGCGUUGUUCGGAUUUACUGGGCGUAAAGGGCGCGUAGGCGGUGUCGUAAGUCGGAUGUGAAAUCCCGGGGCUUAACUUCGGAACUGCAUUCGAUACUGCGAUACUCGAGGACUCGAGAGGAGAUUGGAAUUCACGGUGUAGCAGUGAAAUGCGUAGAUAUCGUGAGGAAGACCAGUGGCGAAGGCGGAUCUCUGGAGAGUUCCUGACGCUGAGGCACGAAGGCCAGGGGAGCAAACGGG
RNAcentral lists this ribosomal RNA (253 nucleotides) under uncultured bacterium. RNAcentral's name for it is "partial 16S ribosomal RNA". It matches the Rfam family "Bacterial small subunit ribosomal RNA", at positions 524 to 776 of the family's 1533-position model. The record is from RNAcentral.